This 85-nucleotide transfer RNA is filed under the name Rhodospirillales bacterium 12-54-5. RNAcentral's name for it is "tRNA-Leu". It matches the Rfam family "tRNA". Rfam says of the family: Transfer RNA (tRNA) molecules are approximately 80 nucleotides in length. Their secondary structure includes four short double-helical elements and three loops (D, anti-codon, and T loops). The record is from RNAcentral. Lineage: Bacteria; Pseudomonadati; Pseudomonadota; Alphaproteobacteria; Rhodospirillales.
GCGGAUGUGGCGAAAUUGGCAGACGCACCAGAUUUAGGUUCUGGCGCCGCAAGGCGUGCUGGUUCAAGUCCAGUCAUCCGCACCA